UGCAUCAAUGUUUAAAUAAUUGAUGCAAUAUCGACUCUGUUGAAUAAAAUUCUAGGUAGAAUUAUGAUAAUGACAUUGUCUACCUAUGUGUCUUGACCAAAUUACGUGCCAGCAGUCGCGGUAAUACGUAGAAGACUAGUGUUAUUCAUCUUUAAUAGGUUUAAAGGGUACCUAGACGGUAAAUCAAGCCUGCAAUAUGGGACUAAUGUACUAGAGUUACUUACGAGGGGGUAUUAAAGUACUGCUGGUGUAGAGAUGAAAUUCUGUCAUACCUCGUUUCGGAAGAAACACUAUGGCACAGGUAUAGGCGAAAGCAUCCCCUUAUGUGAUAACUGACGUUGAAGGACGAAGGCUUUGUGUAGCGAACAGGAUUAGAUACCCCAGUAGUCAAAGCAGAAAAUGAUGAAUGUCAUAGAUUAGAUGUAUAGUUUAUUCUAUAAAUGAAAGUGUAAGCAUUCCACCUCAAGAGUAAUUUGGCAACAUUGGAACUGAAAUCAUUAGACCGUUUCUGAAACCAGUAGUGAAGUAUGUUGUUUAAUUUGAUGGUCCGCAAAAAACCUUACCACAAUUUGAAUAUUUAGAUUUUUAUUUUCUCUUCCUAAUAUUUGGAUAUAAGUUCGAGUCUUAGAUAAGAACUUAUUAGCUCAAAGAUAUAGUAGAAUAUUUAAGAAAAGAAAAUAAAUCCAUUUACAAGCGUUGCACGGCUGUCUUCAGUUAAUGUCGUGAGAUCAUGGUUAGUUCCAUUAAUUAACGUAAACCCUUACUUUAUU
This 770-nucleotide ribosomal RNA is filed under the name Protoparmeliopsis muralis. RNAcentral describes it as "SSU rRNA". It matches the Rfam family "Bacterial small subunit ribosomal RNA", at positions 398 to 1115 of the family's 1533-position model. Lineage: Eukaryota; Fungi; Ascomycota; Lecanoromycetes; Lecanorales; Lecanoraceae. The record is from RNAcentral.